This 301-nucleotide ribosomal RNA is filed under the name uncultured bacterium. RNAcentral describes it as "partial 16S ribosomal RNA". It matches the Rfam family "Bacterial small subunit ribosomal RNA", at positions 509 to 807 of the family's 1533-position model. The record is from RNAcentral.
CAGUCGCCGCGGUAAAACGAAGGGGGCUAGCGUUGUUCGGAAUUACUGGGCGUAAAGCGCACGUAGGCUGACAUUUAAGUCAGGGGUGAAAUCCCGGGGCUCAACCUCGGAACUGCCUUUGAUACUGGGUGUCUUGAGUGUGGAAGAGGUAAGUGGAAUUGCGAAUGUAGAGGUGAAAUUCGUAGAUAUUCGCAGGAACACCAGUGGCGAAGGCGGCUUACUGGUCCACAACUGACGCUGAGGUGCGAAAGCGUGGGGAGCAAACAGGAUUAGAUACCCCCGUAGUCCCUGUCUCUUAUAC